RNAcentral lists this transfer RNA (70 nucleotides) under Loxodonta africana (African savanna elephant). It matches the Rfam family "tRNA". Rfam says of the family: Transfer RNA (tRNA) molecules are approximately 80 nucleotides in length. Their secondary structure includes four short double-helical elements and three loops (D, anti-codon, and T loops). The record is from Rfam by way of RNAcentral. Lineage: Eukaryota; Metazoa; Chordata; Mammalia; Proboscidea; Elephantidae.
GCAGUGGUGGUUCAGGGUAGAAUUCUCGCCUUCCACGCAGGAGACCCGGGUUCGAUUCCCAGCCAGUGCA